Molecule: long non-coding RNA, 475 nt
Organism: Cataglyphis hispanica
Lineage: Eukaryota; Metazoa; Arthropoda; Insecta; Hymenoptera; Formicidae
Exons: 3
Source: RefSeq, a predicted model, not a curated record
CUUUUACCUAAAACAGGAUCUAGAGUAAAAUUUAAAAAAAAACUGGAAGCUCAUAAAAUCGUAACACUUGAGGUUACUUUUUCUCCACAAAUCCUAUCUUUAAAUGAAAAUAAGGUUGAAACACAAAUUCUUUUUUGAUGAAGAUAAGAUUGAAACCAUCGUUGUAUCAAACAUUGAAGAAAAUGACUCAUCUCAGCACUUUCUGAACACUUCUGCCAAUAUUAUUAAAAAUGUUACUUCUUCUAGCAGCUUGGAAGAAGAAAUUCAAAAAGACUGUCUUCAAUCUAAUCUUGCACAUACACUACUAAGUAAAGAGAAAGAAACAACAAAUGAUAUUCUCAAAAUCAUUGAAAUAGAUCUGGAUGCAAAAGCUGCAUACCAAGUUUUAAACAAUUCUAAUUGUGAAAAGAAGGAUGCAGCAAGAGCUAAACUUUAUGCAUCCUAUUACAAAACAUGAACUUACAAAGAAUUCUGU